This 1608-nucleotide ribosomal RNA is filed under the name human gut metagenome. RNAcentral's name for it is "bacterial LSU rRNA". It matches the Rfam family "Bacterial large subunit ribosomal RNA", at positions 507 to 2107 of the family's 2925-position model. The record is from RNAcentral.
GGGAAAGGUGAAAAGCACCCCGAGAGGGGAGUGAAACAGCGCCUGAAACCGUGCGCCCCCAAGCAGCGGGAGCCGUUCCGACGACGGUGACCGCGUGCCUUUUGUAGAAUGAGCCUGCGAGUCGCGGCAUGCGGCGAGGUUAAGGGACACCGAGCCGCAGCGAAAGCGAGCCUGAACAGGGCGAUUUGAGUCGCAUGCCGCGGACGCGAAGCCGGGUGAGCUAUCCAUGGGCAGGGUGAAGCGGGGGUAAGACCCCGUGGAGGCCCGAACCCACUUCGGUUGAAAACGGAGGGGAUGACCCGCGGAUAGGGGUGAAAGGCCUAUCAAACCCGGAGAUAUCUCGUUCUCCCCGAAACAGCUUUAGGGCUGGCCCCGGGCAUUGACCAUCGGAGGUAGAGCACUGGACCGGCGAGGGGGCCUCACCGCCUACCGACCCAGACCAAACUCCGAAUGCCGAUGGUUCCGACCCCGGGAGUCAGAGCGCGUGGGCUAAGCUGCGCGCUCGAGAGGGAAACAGCCCAGACCGCCCGCCAAGGCCCCAAAGGCCGUGCUAAGUGGCAAAGGAUGUGCGCCCGCCCAGACAACCAGGAUGUUGGCUUAGAAGCAGCCAUCCAUUCAAAGAGUGCGUAACAGCUCACUGGUCGAGUGGGGGCGCGCCGACAAUGCGCGGGGCUCAAGCACGGCGCCGAAGCGGCGGAAUCAUGAAUUUGAUUGGUAGGGGAGCUUUCCAUGCCGGGCGAAGCCGGAGGCGCGAGCCCCGGUGGACGGCAUGGAAGUGAGGAUGCAGGCAUGAGUAGCGAGAGAGCGGCGAGAAACCGCUCCGCCGAAAACCCAAGGUUUCCUGGGCGAGGCUAAUCCCCCCAGGGUCAGCCGGGAGCUAAGGCGAGGCCGCAAGGCGCAGCCGAUGCACGACGGGCAGACAUUCCCGUGCCGGCGCGGGCGCGCUACGACCGAUGGGACGACGGGGAAGGAUACGCGAGCGGGGUUCUGGACGUCCCCGUGAAAGCGCGUAGGGAGGGGCCCAGGGAAAUCCGGUCCCCACACAUCCCGAGACGCGAGACGAGCCCUAUGGCGAAGUCGCGGAUUCCAUGCCUCCCAGAAAAAUCCCUAGGCAGCGCCCACGCCGCCCGUACCAAAACCGACACAGGUGGGUAGGAAGAGCAUUCCGAGGCGAUCGGGGCAACCAUGGUCAAGGAACUCGGCAUAAUCGUCCCGUAACUUAGGGAGAAGGGACGCCCCCCAGCGUGUACCGGCUCGCCCGGGAAGCGCCGGGGGGCCGCAGCGAAAGGGCCCAAGCGACUGUUUACCAAAAACACAGGACUCUGCCAAGCCGCGAGGCGAAGUAUAGGGUCUGACGCCUGCCCGGUGCCGGAAGGUCACGGGGAUCCGUUAGCCUUUGGCGAAGCGGUGAACCCAAGCCCCGGUAAACGGCGGCCGUAACUAUAACGGUCCUAAGGUAGCGAAAUUCCUUGUCGGGUAAGUUCCGACCUGCACGAACGGCGCAACGACUUGGGCGCUGUCUCGACCAUGGGCCCGGCGAAAUUGCAUUAUCCGUGAAGAUGCGGAUUCCCCGCGGAAGGACGGAAAGACCCCGUGAACCUUUACUGC